Molecule: ribosomal RNA, 328 nt
Filed under: uncultured eukaryote
Lineage: Eukaryota
Description: partial 18S ribosomal RNA
Rfam family: Eukaryotic small subunit ribosomal RNA
Source: RNAcentral
CCCUUAGAUGUCCUGGGCCGCACGCGCGUUACACUGAUGCAUUCAACGAGCUUAUAACCUUGGCCGAGAGGCCUGGGCAAUCUUGUUAACGUGCAUCGUGAUAGGGAUAGAUUAUUGAAAUUAUUAAUCUUGAACGAGGAAUUCCUAGUAAACGCAGAUCAUCAAUCUGCAUUGAUUACGUCCCUGCCCUUUGUACACACCGCCCGUCGCACCUACCGAUUGGAUGGUCCGGUGAAGCCUCGGGAUUGUGGUUCUGGCCGCUUUAUUGUGGCGUGACCGCGAGAACUUGUCUAAACCUUAUCAUCUAGAGGAAGGUGAAGUCGUAACA